GAAACAUCUUCGGGUUGUGAGGUUAAGCGACUAAGCGUACACGGUGGAUGCCCUGGCAGUCAGAGGCGAUGAAGGACGUGCUAAUCUGCGAUAAGCGUCGGUGAGGUGAUAUGAACCGUUAUAACCGGCGAUUUCCGAAUGGGGAAACCCAGUGUGUUUCGACACACUAUCAUUAACUGAAUCCAUAGGUUAAUGAGGCGAACCGGGGGAACUGAAACAUCUAAGUACCCCGAGGAAAAGAAAUCAACCGAGAUUCCCCCAGUAGCGGCGAGCGAACGGGGAGGAGCCCAGAGCCUGAAUCAGUGUGUGUGUUAGUGGAAGCGUCUGGAAAGGCGCGCGAUACAGGGUGACAGCCCCGUACACAAAAAUGCACAUAUUGUGAGCUCGAUGAGUAGGGCGGGACACGUGGUAUCCUGUCUGAAUAUGGGGGGACCAUCCUCCAAGGCUAAAUACUCCUGACUGACCGAUAGUGAACCAGUACCGUGAGGGAAAGGCGAAAAGAACCCCGGCGAGGGGAGUGAAAAAGAACCUGAAACCGUGUACGUACAAGCAGUGGGAGCCUCUUAAUGGGGUGACUGCGUACCUUUUGUAUAAUGGGUCAGCGACUUAUAUUCUGUAGCAAGGUUAACCGAAUAGGGGAGCCGAAGGGAAACCGAGUCUUAACUGGGCGUUAAGUUGCAGGGUAUAGACCCGAAACCCGGUGAUCUAGCCAUGGGCAGGUUGAAGGUUGGGUAACACUAACUGGAGGACCGAACCGACUAAUGUUGAAAAAUUAGCGGAUGACUUGUGGCUGGGGGUGAAAGGCCAAUCAAACCGGGAGAUAGCUGGUUCUCCCCGAAAGCUAUUUAGGUAGCGCCUCGUGAAUUCAUCUCCGGGGGUAGAGCACUGUUUCGGCAAGGGGGUCAUCCCGACUUACCAACCCGAUGCAAACUGCGAAUACCGGAGAAUGUUAUCACGGGAGACACACGGCGGGUGCUAACGUCCGUCGUGAAGAGGGAAACAACCCAGACCGCCAGCUAAGGUCCCAAAGUCAUGGUUAAGUGGGAAACGAUGUGGGAAGGCCCAGACAGCCAGGAUGUUGGCUUAGAAGCAGCCAUCAUUUAAAGAAAGCGUAAUAGCUCACUGGUCGAGUCGGCCUGCGCGGAAGAUGUAACGGGGCUAAACCAUGCACCGAAGCUGCGGCAGCGACGCUUAUGCGUUGUUGGGUAGGGGAGCGUUCUGUAAGCCUGUGAAGGUGGCCUGUGAGGGUUGCUGGAGGUAUCAGAAGUGCGAAUGCUGACAUAAGUAACGAUAAAGCGGGUGAAAAGCCCGCUCGCCGGAAGACCAAGGGUUCCUGUCCAACGUUAAUCGGGGCAGGGUGAGUCGACCCCUAAGGCGAGGCCGAAAGGCGUAGUCGAUGGGAAACAGGUUAAUAUUCCUGUACUUGGUGUUACUGCGAAGGGGGGACGGAGAAGGCUAUGUUGGCCGGGCGACGGUUGUCCCGGUUUAAGCGUGUAGGCUGGUUUUCCAGGCAAAUCCGGAAAAUCAAGGCUGAGGCGUGAUGACGAGGCACUACGGUGCUGAAGCGACAAAUGCCCUGCUUCCAGGAAAAGCCUCUAAGCAUCAGGUAACAUCAAAUCGUACCCCAAACCGACACAGGUGGUCAGGUAGAGAAUACCAAGGCGCUUGGGAGAACUCGGGUGAAGGAACUAGGCAAAAUGGUGCCGUAACUUCGGGAGAAGGCACGCUGAUAUGUAGGUGAAGCGACUUGCUCGUGGAGCUGAAAUCAGUCGAAGAUACCAGCUGGCUGCAACUGUUUAUUAAAAACACAGCACUGUGCAAACACGAAAGUGGACGUAUACGGUGUGACGCCUGCCCGGUGCCGGAAGGUUAAUUGAUGGGGUUAGCGGUAACGCGAAGCUCUUGAUCGAAGCCCCGGUAAACGGCGGCCGUAACUAUAACGGUCCUAAGGUAGCGAAAUUCCUUGUCGGGUAAGUUCCGACCUGCACGAAUGGCGUAAUGAUGGCCAGGCUGUCUCCACCCGAGACUCAGUGAAAUUGAACUCGCUGUGAAGAUGCAGUGUACCCGCGGCAAGACGGAAAGACCCCGUGAACCUUUACUAUAGCUUGACACUGAACAUUGAGCCUUGAUGUGUAGGAUAGGUGGGAGGCUUUGAAGUGUGGACGCCAGUCUGCAUGGAGCCGACCUUGAAAUACCACCCUUUAAUGUUUGAUGUUCUAACGUGGGCCCGUAAUCCGGGUUGCGGACAGUGUCUGGUGGGUAGUUUGACUGGGGCGGUCUCCUCCUAAAGAGUAACGGAGGAGCACGAAGGUUGGCUAAUCCUGGUCGGACAUCAGGAGGUUAGUGCAAUGGCAUAAGCCAGCUUGACUGCGAGCGUGACGGCGCGAGCAGGUGCGAAAGCAGGUCAUAGUGAUCCGGUGGUUCUGAAUGGAAGGGCCAUCGCUCAACGGAUAAAAGGUACUCCGGGGAUAACAGGCUGAUACCGCCCAAGAGUUCAUAUCGACGGCGGUGUUUGGCACCUCGAUGUCGGCUCAUCACAUCCUGGGGCUGAAGUAGGUCCCAAGGGUAUGGCUGUUCGCCAUUUAAAGUGGUACGCGAGCUGGGUUUAGAACGUCGUGAGACAGUUCGGUCCCUAUCUGCCGUGGGCGCUGGAGAACUGAGGGGGGCUGCUCCUAGUACGAGAGGACCGGAGUGGACGCAUCACUGGUGUUCGGGUUGUCAUGCCAAUGGCACUGCCCGGUAGCUAAAUGCGGAAGAGAUAAGUGCUGAAAGCAUCUAAGCACGAAACUUGCCCCGAGAUGAGUUCUCCCUGACCCUUUAAGGGUCCUGAAGGAACGUUGAAGACGACGACGUUGAUAGGCCGGGUGUGUAAGCGCAGCGAUGCGUUGAGCUAACCGGUACUAAUGAACCGUGAGGCUUAACCUU
RNAcentral lists this ribosomal RNA (2925 nucleotides) under Escherichia coli 3003. Its description in RNAcentral is "bacterial LSU rRNA". It matches the Rfam family "Bacterial large subunit ribosomal RNA". The record is from RNAcentral. Lineage: Bacteria; Pseudomonadati; Pseudomonadota; Gammaproteobacteria; Enterobacterales; Enterobacteriaceae.